CCUACGUGAGGCAGCAGUGAGGAAUAUUGGUCAAUGGGCGCGAGCCUGAUCCAGCCAAGUAGCGUGAAGGAUGACUGCCCUACGGGUUGUAAACUUCUUUUAUAAAGGAAUAAAGUGAGGCACGUGUGCCUUUUUGUAUGUACUUUAUGAAUAAGGAUCGGCUAACUCCGUGCCAGCAGCCGCGGUAAUACGGAGGAUCCGAGCGUUAUCCGGAUUUAUUGGGUGUAAAGGGAGCGUAGAUGGGUUGUUAAGUCAGUUGUGAAAGUUUGCGGCUCAACCGUAAAAUUGCAAUUGAUACUGGCUGCCUUGAGUACAGUUGAGGUAGGCGGAAUUCGUGGUGUAGCGGUGAAAUGCUGAGAUAUCACGAAGAACUCCGAUUGCGAAGGCAGCUUACUAAACUGCCACUGACAUUGAGGCUCGAAAGUGUGGGUAUCAAACAGGAUUAGAUACCCUAGUAGUC
This 460-nucleotide ribosomal RNA is filed under the name uncultured bacterium. RNAcentral describes it as "partial 16S ribosomal RNA". It matches the Rfam family "Bacterial small subunit ribosomal RNA", at positions 338 to 795 of the family's 1533-position model. The record is from RNAcentral.